RNAcentral lists this transfer-messenger RNA (343 nucleotides) under Aquificaceae. RNAcentral describes it as "UBA11096 sp003534055 Standard tmRNA". It matches the Rfam family "transfer-messenger RNA". From Rfam's summary of the family: Bacterial tmRNA, also known as 10Sa RNA or SsrA, is named for its dual tRNA and mRNA-like properties. Lineage: Bacteria; Pseudomonadati; Aquificota; Aquificia; Aquificales. RNAcentral also lists the same sequence under 2 other names. The record is from RNAcentral.
GGGGGCGAAUGGGUUCGACGGGGACUGUAGGACAGGGUUGCAGGCAGGGUGGCAACCUAAACAGCCAUCCAAAACACUUCCCGAAAGGGAACUCGCUCUCGCUGCUUAAUUAACGGCAGCGGCUCUCCCAUGGCUUAGCCCCUGGGCUGUGGGAAGGGCUUAGAGACAGGGGUGUAGGCUAUGGCUGGUGCAGGGACAGCCUUAGCCGAAGUUUAGCCCUGCUCGCCCUAUGGGGUUUGCCAGUGGACACCCAUAGGGUCAGAAGAAAACACUGGCUAAGCCUGUAGAGGCUCUGGGUGCCGAAGGUCCUCGGACGCGGGUUCGAUUCCCGCCGCCUCCACCA